This is a long non-coding RNA of Cyprinodon tularosa, 1001 nucleotides long. RefSeq lists it as uncharacterized. The transcript is spliced from 4 exons. The record is from RefSeq and is a predicted model, not a curated record. Lineage: Eukaryota; Metazoa; Chordata; Actinopteri; Cyprinodontiformes; Cyprinodontidae.
UUUUACUCUUCAAGAUGACCCUUGUGAGAAAAUCCUAAGAGAAAUCUUAAUUGAUCCCCUCUCCUCGGUUUCUCCACUCAAGGUAUUUUUCUAUACCAUUACAACUUGCAUUAAAGAGCCACUGAAACCCUUAGGAGAAGGUUUAGGGGAGUUUUUCCAAGCACUCCUCAAAGAUCUACCAAUAAUCUCCUGGAUACCAGUCCUUAUCAUUGUCCCGUUGUGCUUUCUGAUACCUCUUUCUGGAGGCAUACCAAGAGUUUUCCAGCUCUUUGUGAGACGUAUGAUACCCCUUGGGGGAGUUCUUUUACCUGAAAAUGCACAACGCCAAGAUGACAAUGUCAGGUUAGAACAAAAUGCCGUCAAUCAAACACAACCUGGAAGAGCCAUGGAAGAGCCCCGUACUGAAUGUUUAAACAGUGCCGACCUAUCAAGUGAGGAGCCUAGAGAAGCUGCGGGGAACCAGGGGGGCUCUGAAAACCAGCCUGAGGUCAAAAAAGAGAGACUUGUUACUACGCCAGACCAACCGGAAGCCAAUCAGACCAUAUUAGUGUUAGUAGAGAACAAACAAAUAAAAACACAGAGGAAAGGUUGUUAUGAUGAACCUUACAGAAGGCGUCCAACCCCUACACAUCAGCCAAUAGAAAUGCACCAUGGUUGGAUACGUUCAGAAGCCUUACCAGGAGAAGAGAGAAGCUUGCCAUCACUGAGAUUCAUGAAGGCUGAAAUUGCUUCUGCUCAACAAACAUCAGCAGUUGCACUGGAUUAAAUACAUGUUUUAUAGCAGCAGUUUAACAAUAUCUGUAUUUGUUAUAAUUUAGUUGAUUUAAUUGGACUUUCCAAGUUUACUGAAUGAGAACAAUUAGAUUGAAAAUUAGACACUGAGCAGAGCAAUUCACUGUCUGGUCUGCGGUGUUGCUAUCCUAAAAGUGUGCUGCAUUUGGGGGACUUUAUAUUUAAUCAAUUCUAGGUUUAACUGGUUUGGUUCAGGUUAUUUUAUUUUU